This 377-nucleotide ribosomal RNA is filed under the name uncultured bacterium. RNAcentral describes it as "bacterial SSU rRNA". It matches the Rfam family "Bacterial small subunit ribosomal RNA", at positions 521 to 896 of the family's 1533-position model. The record is from RNAcentral.
UAAUACGUAGGGUGCGAGCGUUGUCCGGAAUUAUUGGGCGUAAAGAGCUCGUAGGCGGUUUGUCGCGUCGGCCGUGAAAACUUGGGGCUUAACCCCAAGCCUGCGGUCGAUACGGGCAGACUUGAGUUCGGCAGGGGAGACUGGAAUUCCUGGUGUAGCGGUGAAAUGCGCAGAUAUCAGGAGGAACACCGGUGGCGAAGGCGGGUCUCUGGGCCGAUACUGACGCUGAGGAGCGAAAGCGUGGGGAGCGAACAGGAUUAGAUACCCUGGUAGUCCACGCCGUAAACGGUGGGUGCUAGGUGUGGGGGACUUCCACGUCCUCUGUGCCGCAGCUAACGCAUUAAGCACCCCGCCUGGGGAGUACGGCCGCAAGGCUA